This 755-nucleotide long non-coding RNA is filed under the name Betta splendens (Siamese fighting fish). Its description in RNAcentral is "lncRNA (ENSBSLG00000002704.1)". Lineage: Eukaryota; Metazoa; Chordata; Actinopteri; Anabantiformes; Osphronemidae. The record is from RNAcentral.
ACAUGACGUCCAUCUUGAAUUUUCCGUAUUAGUUUCGGUUUCCUCUGUAGCGAGUUAUGGCUCAUAGAAGAGGAGAAAAAAAAAUCGCUCAGGAGUUGGAGCAGAACACUUGCAGUUUUCAGAACAUUGUGGAUGUACCGUGUGUUUUGGACUAAAACGCUUUACUGGAUUAUAUUCGCUGGACCGUAACGAACGGAGUGACACCAAACACAACGUGAAUGUCGAUGUAUGGGGUCUAGAAAGUCGUCAAAAGAGGCGUCUGCCAGGAAAGAGCCAACGAGGGCCUCAUGAUGAGAGAGGGGAGUGAGAAAGGCUGGGAGCUCAGAGCGAGGUGACUCACCGAGGACAGGCGGUGAUAAGGAGUUUGAUUAGGGACACAUUCAUUAUUUAAACGUUUGUAGUGCAUGUUUACCAAAAAGCACAUUCACAUUACGUUACUGCCGGCUUGUUGCAUCGUGGCAUCUACAUCAGCGCUGCAACUAACUGGCCUGUAGGUGAAGCUGGAUGCUGUGGUGGAGUAUCAGCUAAACAUGCAGUACUGCCCAAAGCACUGCAGGCAAACAGAUUCACAGCAUGUUCACACAUACAGUAGUACAACUCUUUUUUUAAUAUAAUGCAAUGAGCUGUGUAAUUGAAAACAACACUACUUUUGUGAGAACCCAACAAAAGGGAAAAAAAACACAUUUUUAUUUAUUCAGUGUUUGUAUGAAUUAGUAAAUGACCACCGGGAGUCAUAGGUUUGACAUUGUUCUGAU